CCAACAGAUCUCUUGAGAACUCAUUCACUAUCAAGAGAACAGCAUGGAGGUUAUCGCCCCUAUGAUUCAAUUACCUCCCAGCGGGUCCCUCACAUGACACAUGGGACUUAUGGAAACUACAAUUCAAGAUGAGAUUUGGGUGGAAACACAGCCA
Long non-coding RNA from Sapajus apella (tufted capuchin), 154 nucleotides. RefSeq lists it as uncharacterized. The transcript has 3 exons. The record is from RefSeq and is a predicted model, not a curated record. Lineage: Eukaryota; Metazoa; Chordata; Mammalia; Primates; Cebidae.